Molecule: ribosomal RNA, 301 nt
Filed under: uncultured bacterium
Lineage: Bacteria
Description: partial 16S ribosomal RNA
Rfam family: Bacterial small subunit ribosomal RNA
Source: RNAcentral
CAGUAGCCGCGGGAAUACGUAGGGUGCGAGCGUUAAUCGGAAUUACUGGGCGUAAAGCGUGCGCAGGCGGUUCGUUAAGACAGAUGUGAAAUCCCCGGGCUUAACCUGGGAACUGCAUUUGUGACUGGCAAGCUAGAGUAUGGCAGAGGGGGGUGGAAUUCCGCGUGUAGCAGUGAAAUGCGUAGAUAUGCGGAGGAACACCGAUGGCGAAGGCAGCCCCCUGGGCCAAUACUGACGCUCAUGCACGAAAGCGUGGGGAGCAAACAGGAUUAGAUACCCGCGUAGUCCCUGUCUCUUAUAC